Molecule: long non-coding RNA, 381 nt
Filed under: Homo sapiens (human)
Lineage: Eukaryota; Metazoa; Chordata; Mammalia; Primates; Hominidae
Description: HSALNT0357885
Source: RNAcentral
AGAAAAUAUACUAAUGGUGCUGAAGGGAAUAUUUCAGUCUGUAUGAUAAUUAAAUUUUUCAUGACAUUUUUAAUAGUUCUGAAGCUGGAAGUCUGAGACCAGGCUGCCACGAGCAUGGCCAGGAGCUGGCAAAACAGUCCAAAACGCAUGAAGUAGUGCAUCAAGAUCUGUGAGAAGAAUCUCCAUAGCUUAGAGUCAAAGGACCAGGAAGAAAGCUAACACAGACUAUGAGGCUUUGCACUGAAUGGCACUUCUAAGGGUCUCUUUCAAAAGCAUUUUCUUCCUCCCACGAAACAUAAAGAUCACAAGGGAUUAUAACAUGUGCUUAAAAGCAUUGGAAGAAAAACUAUAUACGUAAGUUGUAUUUGUGAACUUGUGAUA